This 710-nucleotide long non-coding RNA is filed under the name Nicotiana benthamiana. RNAcentral describes it as "long non-coding RNA (NBEN_LNC040064)". The record is from RNAcentral. Lineage: Eukaryota; Viridiplantae; Streptophyta; Magnoliopsida; Solanales; Solanaceae.
AAAUGGAAGCUGCGUGUCUUCGCCCGCUCCCGGUUCAUGGUGGAAUCCAUUGAAUGCGUUGGUAAAACACGGGAUUACGGCCGAAAAGCGGAGGUUUCUGCUAGGCAAAGGAGCUCACAAAAUAUCCUAACUCUCUAUGGGCAAGAAGCAAGGGCGCAGCUGCUGCGCGAAAGCCGGUCUUACCUUCUAUUAUAUUAGUAAAGGGCCUUUAGGCUUGACUAAUAAGAUAUAUAGGGCUUUUCCCUUUACUAGUAAGAGGCAAAGAUCAUCAGCUUUUAGUCAUCUAUCUCGCUACCUACUCCUUUUGCAAAAAGGCUUUGGGGAUAAGAUCAGACUCGAGAAAUAGUCUACUUCAAGGCUGCAGGGAGGACUACGCUCUGCAGGUGGGCAUCACUAUUUAUCAUGUCAAGACGGAAUUCCGAUUUGUUUUUGAAGGUGAUAAAAAAGAUUCGACGAAAACCGGGCAUACAUUCGAGAGAGAGAAGGGUUAGUUCAUGUCUGGGUCAAGGGGACGGGUGACCUGAACCCUCUUCCUCCGGUAAGAGCUAUCUAACCUCUGUUGUCUUGCUAUAACCUAGUCUUACUCGCUCUUACCUCCCUGCCUGUUUUCGUUUCUUUCUUUUUUGAGAAUACCUGCCCUGCUACCUCUGCUCUCGUUCGGGCCCCGGGAAUCCCUUGCUUUUGGCUAAGUUCUUUAUUUACCUUUUUUC